UAACGAAUAUUGGGCAAUGGGCGAAAGCCUGACCCAGCAAUGCCGCGUGCAGGACGAAGUCCUUCGGGAUGUAAACUGCUGUCAGGGGUCCGCAAGCGAAGGGGUCCAACAGGCCCUGGAGUUGAGCAGCCCCAGAGGAAGCCUCGACUAACUCUGUGCCAGCAGCCGCGGUAAUACGGGGAUGGCGAGCGUUACUCGGAUUUACUGGGUGUAAAGGACAGGCAGGCGGCUUUGCAAGUUGAAGGUUAAAUCCUCUGACUCAAUCAGAGACAUGCCUUCAAAACUACAUUGCUUGAGGAUUUGAGAGGAGAGCGGAAUUCCCGGUGUAAGGGUGAAAUCUGUAGAUAUCGGGAGGAACACCUGUGGCGAAAGCGGCUCUCUGGCAAAUCCCUGACGCUGAACUGUGAAAGCUAGGGGAGCAAACA
RNAcentral lists this ribosomal RNA (425 nucleotides) under uncultured prokaryote. RNAcentral describes it as "bacterial SSU rRNA". It matches the Rfam family "Bacterial small subunit ribosomal RNA", at positions 355 to 774 of the family's 1533-position model. The record is from RNAcentral.